CCUACGGGUGGCAGCAGUGAGGAAUAUUGGUCAAUGGGCGCAAGCCUGAACCAGCCAAGUCGCGUGAGGGAUGACGGUCCUAUGGAUUGUAAACCUCUUUUGUCGGGGAGCAAGGCCCGCCACGUGUGGCGGGAAGGAGAGUACCCGAAGAAAAAGCAUCGGCUAACUCCGUGCCAGCCGCCGCGGUAAUACGGAGGAUGCGAGCGUUAUCCGGAUUUAUUGGGUUUAAAGGGUGCGUAGGCGGACUGUGAAGUCAGCGGGAAAAGCCCGGGGCUCAAACCCGGCGAGCCGUUGAAACUGGUUGUCUUGAGAUGUCGAGAGGUAUGCGGAAUGCGCAGUGUAGCGGUGAAAUGCGUAGAUAUUGCGCAGAACUCCGAUUGCGAAGGCAGCAUACCGGCGGCGAUCUGACGCUGAGGCACGAAAGCGUGGGUAUCGAACAGGAUUAGAUACCCUGGUAGUC
RNAcentral lists this ribosomal RNA (460 nucleotides) under uncultured bacterium. RNAcentral's name for it is "partial 16S ribosomal RNA". It matches the Rfam family "Bacterial small subunit ribosomal RNA", at positions 338 to 795 of the family's 1533-position model. The record is from RNAcentral.